GCUCCCUCCCAGAUGAAGAUUUUGAAACAGCUUUGUGAAGAAAUAAAAGAACCUUGAGAGCAACAAGAGUUCUUUCAGGCUGGACAUUAGGAAAAACACCUCCAAAAGAAUGGUUGGGCCCUGGACAGACUGCCCAGGGAGGGACUCCAGUCAGAUUCCCUAGAGGCGUUCAGGAAAUGUUUAGGUGUGUGUAUGGGAACUGCUAAGUCACGGCCUGAACCUCUGAUUGAUCACCUGAGGCGAGCCAUGAGUCAGCCAGAGGAGCACAGUGAAGGCAAUUCAGCUGUGCUGCCUGGCUCCACCCCUCCUAGACCUAUUUCAGAGCUGGCUGCCAGUGGGGAAGGAGCUCUUCUGGAGAUUGGUCCUGGUGGAGUUUUGUGAGUGAGCUCUGGAUAGGGGGAUCUAAAGGAGAGUGAGUUGAAAGGAAAAAGUCUCUCUAUGGCCUCACACUUAGCUACACCUUUCACAUGCUGCAAAACCGUGGGCUUUGCUCUGCCCUGUGUGUCAUUGGAAGAGAGCACAGCAUUGGAAAAUAAGGAUCUUAGAGGAAUGUGGCCUGACCCUGUCUGUCAGAGCCAAGGAGUCUUGGGAGAAUCCUUAUCAUCCCUCUUCAAGGAGAUGGCAUCAGAACGCUCGCAUAAUGAGAGCAAGAGGAGGUUCUAGUCUAUGUACACCUGAUGGCGAGAUUCAUACACAAAUAGUAGAUGUCAGACAG
Lagopus muta (rock ptarmigan) is the source of this 715-nucleotide long non-coding RNA. RefSeq lists it as uncharacterized. NCBI's taxonomy places the organism in Eukaryota, Metazoa, Chordata, Aves, Galliformes, Phasianidae. The record is from RefSeq and is a predicted model, not a curated record. The transcript has 2 exons.